This 172-nucleotide ribosomal RNA is filed under the name Zingiber officinale. Lineage: Eukaryota; Viridiplantae; Streptophyta; Magnoliopsida; Zingiberales; Zingiberaceae. The record is from RNAcentral.
GCGAUCAUACCAGCACUAAUGCACCGGAUCCCAUCAGAACUCCGAAGUUAAGCGUGCUUGGGCGAGAGCAGUACUAAUGCACCGGAUCCCAUCAGAACUCCGAAGUUAAGCGUGCUUGGGCGAGAGCAGUACUAGGAUGGGUGACCCCCUGGGAAGUCCUCGUGUUGCACCU